RNAcentral lists this ribosomal RNA (702 nucleotides) under uncultured bacterium. Its description in RNAcentral is "bacterial SSU rRNA". It matches the Rfam family "Bacterial small subunit ribosomal RNA", at positions 62 to 775 of the family's 1533-position model. The record is from RNAcentral.
UCGAACGGACUCAUACUGAAACCUAGUGAUUUAUGAGUUAGUGGCGGACGGGCCAGUAACGCGUGGAUAACCUGCCGUAUACCGGGGGAUAACACUUAGAAAUAGGUGCUAAUACCGCAUGAGCGCACAGCUCCGCAUGGAGCGGUGUGAAAAACUCCGGUGGUAUACGAUGGAUCCGCGUCUGAUUAGCCAGUUGGCGGGGUAACGGCCCACCAAAGCGACGAUCAGUAGCCGGCCUGAGAGGGUGAACGGCCACAUUGGGACUGAGACACGGCCCAGACUCCUACGGGAGGCAGCAGUGGGGAAUAUUGCACAAUGGGGGAAACCCUGAUGCAGCGACGCCGCGUGAGUGAAGAAGUAUCUCGGUAUGUAAAGCUCUAUCAGCAGGAAAGAUAAUGACGGUACCUGACUAAGAAGCCCCGGCUAACUACGUGCCAGCAGCCGCGGUAAUACGUAGGGGGCAAGCGUUAUCCGGAUUUACUGGGUGUAAAGGGAGCGUAGACGGCAGCGCAAGUCUGGAGUGAAAUGCCGGGGCCCAACCCCGGAACUGCUUUGGAAACUGUGCGGCUCGAGUGCGGGAGAGGUAGGCGGAAUUCCUAGUGUAGCGGUGAAAUGCGUAGAUAUAUGGAAGAACACCAGUGGCGAAAGCGGCUCUCUGGUCUGUAACUGACGCUGAGGUUCGAAAGCGUGGGUAGCAAACAG